This 1321-nucleotide ribosomal RNA is filed under the name Pyrococcus furiosus. Its description in RNAcentral is "16S ribosomal RNA". It matches the Rfam family "Archaeal small subunit ribosomal RNA", at positions 50 to 1355 of the family's 1478-position model. The record is from RNAcentral. Lineage: Archaea; Methanobacteriati; Methanobacteriota; Thermococci; Thermococcales; Thermococcaceae.
CAUGCGAGUCAAGGGGGCGUCCCUUCUGGGACGCCACCGGCGGACGGCUCAGUAACACGUCGGUAACCUACCCUCGGGAGGGGGAUAACCCCGGGAAACUGGGGCUAAUCCCCCAUAGGCCUGGGGUACUGGAAGGUCCCCAGGCCGAAAGGGAGCCGUAAGGCUCCGCCCGAGGAUGGGCCGGCGGCCGAUUAGGUAGUUGGUGGGGUAACGGCCCACCAAGCCGAAGAUCGGUACGGGCCGUGAGAGCGGGAGCCCGGAGAUGGACACUGAGACACGGGUCCAGGCCCUACGGGGCGCAGCAGGCGCGAAACCUCCGCAAUGCGGGAAACCGCGACGGGGGGACCCCCAGUGCCGUGCCUCUGGCACGGCUUUUCCGGAGUGUAAAAAGCUCCGGGAAUAAGGGCUGGGCAAGGCCGGUGGCAGCCGCCGCGGUAAUACCGGCGGCCCGAGUGGUGGCCACUAUUAUUGGGCCUAAAGCGGCCGUAGCCGGGCCCGUAAGUCCCUGGCGAAAUCCCACGGCUCAACCGUGGGGCUCGCUGGGGAUACUGCGGGCCUUGGGACCGGGAGAGGCCGGGGGUACCCCCGGGGUAGGGGUGAAAUCCUAUAAUCCCGGGGGGACCGCCAGUGGCGAAGGCGCCCGGCUGGAACGGGUCCGACGGUGAGGGCCGAAGGCCAGGGGAGCGAACCGGAUUAGAUACCCGGGUAGUCCUGGCUGUAAAGGAUGCGGGCUAGGUGUCGGGCGAGCUUCGAGCUCGCCCGGUGCCGUAGGGAAGCCGUUAAGCCCGCCGCCUGGGGAGUACGGCCGCAAGGCUGAAACUUAAAGGAAUUGGCGGGGGAGCACUACAAGGGGUGGAGCGUGCGGUUUAAUUGGAUUCAACGCCGGGAACCUCACCGGGGGCGACGGCAGGAUGAAGGCCAGGCUGAAGGUCUUGCCGGACGCGCCGAGAGGAGGUGCAUGGCCGCCGUCAGCUCGUACCGUGAGGCGUCCACUUAAGUGUGGUAACGAGCGAGACCCGCGCCCCCAGUUGCCAGUCCCUCCCGCUCGGGAGGGAGGCACUCUGGGGGGACUGCCGGCGAUAAGCCGGAGGAAGGGGCGGGCGACGGUAGGUCAGUAUGCCCCGAAACCCCCGGGCUACACGCGCGCUACAAUGGGCGGGACAAUGGGACCCGACCCCGAAAGGGGAAGGGAAUCCCCUAAACCCGCCCUCAGUUCGGAUCGCGGGCUGCAACUCGCCCGCGUGAAGCUGGAAUCCCUAGUACCCGCGUGUCAUCAUCGCGCGGCGAAUACGUCCCUGCUCCUUGCACACACCGCCCGUCA